Molecule: ribosomal RNA, 217 nt
Filed under: Cortinarius aurantiobasis
Lineage: Eukaryota; Fungi; Basidiomycota; Agaricomycetes; Agaricales; Cortinariaceae
Description: partial 28S ribosomal RNA
Rfam family: Eukaryotic large subunit ribosomal RNA
Source: RNAcentral
GUGACCUCAAAUCAGGUAGGACUACCCGCUGAACUUAAGCAUAUCAAUAAGCGGAGGAAAAGAAACUAACAAGGAUUCCCUCAGUAACGGCGAGUGAAGAGGGAAGAGCUCAGUUUUGAAAUCUGGCAGUCAUUCACUGUCCGAGUUGUAAAUUGAAGAGAGUGUCAUCCACACUGAACGUGACUCCCAGUGUUUAUGUGAUGCAUUCUCUCAGAGU